AUAGAGACAUAGCCUUAUGGGGACAUGGCCGUAUGGGGACAUGGUGCUUAUAGAGAGACAUGGCCUUAUGGGGACAUGCCCUUAUGGGGACAUGGUGCUUAUAGAGAGACAUAGCCUUAUGGGGACAUGGUGCUUAUAGAGAGAUAUAGCCUUAUGGGGACAUGGCCUUAUGGGGACAUGGUGCUUAUAGAGAGACAUAGCCUUAUGGGGACAUGGCCUUUUGGGGACAUGGUGCUUAUAGAGACAUAGCCUUAUGGGGACAUGGCCUUAUGGGGACAUGGUGCUUAUAGAGAAACAUAGCCUUAUGGGGACAUGGCCUUUUGGGGACAUGGUGCUUAUAGAGACAUAGCCUUAUGGGGACAUGGCCUUAUGGGGACAUGGUGCUUAUAGAGAGACAUAGCCUUAUGGGGACAUGGCCUUAUGGGGACAUGGUGCUUAUAGAGAAACAUAGCCUUAUGGGGACAUGGUGCUUAGCACUCCCUCUUAAGGCCUAAUAACACAGUGCAGAAAUACAAUAUGGUGCUUUACAGUAGAUUGAGGUUGGAAAAGGGAUAAGACUGCAGACAAUCAUCUUUGAAGAGGACCGACAGUCAUCAGACCACAUUAUGGGAAUUACGCCACAUUAUGGUCUUCAUCAGAAUUUGACCAUGUGUGUCUUUUAUAGAGGAGAGAUUUGAUUCUAAGGACAUUGUGCAAGUUUUUUUCAACAAAAAAAAACCCAAUGUUGUGCCAAGAUUGACAAUUCAUGUUGGCGUUCUUUCUUUGGGUUUUGUAGUCAGAGUCAUGAUUGGAUGUUAUUGAUACAUGCUGACUGAUAACUUUUGAAGUGAAAGCCAUAUAACACUCAAUCCACAAAAACUGCAGGGGCCAUACUUAUGAUUUAGCAUGUUAGCAGCUAACAAGGAUGGAUUUUAACCUGAAGGGACCCAUACUUAUGAUUUAGCAUGUUAGCGGCUAACUAGCACAGGUUUAAACCUGAAAGACCCAUACUUCUGAUUUAGCAUGUUAGCGGCUAACUAGCACAGGUUUAAACCUGAAAGACCCAUACUUCUGAUUUAGCAUGUUAGCGGCUAACUAGCACAGGUUUAAACCUGCAGGUAACAUCUUUAGCAGCUUUUCGCAUUUCCAAUUAGAAAACAUGUCUUACUUGGGAACUCUAACUGGCUCUUAAUCAAAACAAAGGAACAGUUCACUCUUUAUUUAUGUCAAAUGAACACAUGGUCAAAUUAAAGAAACGCUUCAAGAGGAAGUUGUAGUUUUCUACCAGCUCUGAUACUGUACCUAUAAAUAGAUCAAACUAAUACUUUUAACCUUAACAGUGUUCCUCACAAACUAAACCAGGGUCGUAUUCAUUAGUGCACAUCGUAGGAAAAACAUUUAACAAGGGAAAAAUGAAAAUGAGUUUCUUAUUGGACAGAUUCAAGUAGUCCCUCCCUGUUUCAGUCCAUUUUCAUCCAUUGGGUGACUAACACAACCCAGUUCCCUCUCCUCCCUCUAUUCUUCCAAUAUAAUGUGCUUCCUUCUUGUUCACAUGGCUGAUAUUGGUUUGUUCUGAGUAUUUAUAUAAUCUCCCUGUUUUUAUUUUUUAUCCUGUUUGUACAUAUGAAUAUUAAACAGCCUUGUCAUUUUCCAAUACAUAUUUGAUCAAUAAUUUUAAAUGCAAUUUUUAAUAAAAUUAUAAUAAAAUAAAAAUCUUGUUGUGAUAUUAUUCAGUGACAGAACAGAAGAGAGGUACUUGUUACCAGAGUAAUCAUAGGCAAAAACUUCAAAUUUGUAUAUAUUUGUGUGCAGCUAUAUUAGAUUCUAGUAACGUAUCAGUUUUGUCAUGGACUGGACAGCUGUCUCUAUACCAUCGUUCCUGUUCUAUACCAAACAUUACAUACAACACACACAACUAAGAGAAAAAAAUGCAAAAUUCCCAAGUUAACACAGUUGGAAGAUUCUGGGAAUAUUUUUUAUUUAAUUUUUUUUAACUAGGCAAGUCAGUUAAGAACAAAUUCUUAUUUACAGUGACGGCCUAAACCGGGCCAAACCCGGACGACGCCGGGCCAAUUGUGCUUCGCCCUAUGGGACUCCCACUCACGGCCGGGUUAUGAUACAGCCUGGAUUCUGACUCCUCAAGCACCGAGAUGCUGCGCCACUCAGGUGCCCCAAUCAUGAGGGAACAAGAACAUCCUCCAAACAGGAUCUCCAAAACAACUGGGACAGGAAGAAAAAUCAUUACAUUUCUCUACAACGAAAAUGUUGUAAAAAUCAGAGAGAAUCAAAACGUCCUCUCCCCUCCUCCGGGUCUCUCAAUUCACAGGUUGUAAAAUCUCUCAAAAUCAUGGACAGAAACAAAAUAUUUUACAGCAGUUUUAAUGAGAACAGACUUUCAUAUGCAAACCAGUGACCGUUACGGUCUGAGAAAAUAGCUCAUUUGAACUUGUAAUUUACAUGGAUAUUUUGAUGGAUUUGUGGAACAAAAAAAAAUGGGUUGCUUUUUGUAUGAACAUAACAUAUUGUACUGUACUACAGCUCUCGGGGAUAGCAUCCCAAAUGGCACCCUAUUCCCUAUAUAGUGCACUACUUUAGACCAGGAACCUAUGGACCCUAAAAGUAGUGCACUAUAUAGGGAAUAGGGCGCCAUUUGGGAUGCUCCCCUACUCUGAGACGUUUCACACCCAGUGUCCACUGAGCACACUGCAGGCCAAACGCAGUGUCCACUGAGCACACUGCAGGCCAAACGCAGUGUCCACUGAGCACACUGCAGGCCAAACGCA
Long non-coding RNA from Oncorhynchus tshawytscha (Chinook salmon), 2762 nucleotides. Lineage: Eukaryota; Metazoa; Chordata; Actinopteri; Salmoniformes; Salmonidae. The record is from Ensembl.